This 251-nucleotide ribosomal RNA is filed under the name uncultured prokaryote. Its description in RNAcentral is "partial 16S rRNA". It matches the Rfam family "Bacterial small subunit ribosomal RNA", at positions 525 to 775 of the family's 1533-position model. The record is from RNAcentral.
ACGGAGGGUGCAAGCGUUGUCCGGAAUCAUUGGGCGUAAAGAGUUCGUAGGUGGUUUAUUAAGUCUGGUGUUAAAGGCCGAAGCUCAACUUCGGUAAGGCACUGGAUACUGGUAGACUUGAAUGCGGUAGAGGUAAAGGGAAUUCCUGGUGUAGCGGUGAAAUGCGUAGAUAUCAGGAGGAACAUCGGUGGCGUAAGCGCUUUACUGGGCCGUAAUUGACACUGAGGAACGAAAGCCGGGGUAGCAAAUGG